AACGAACGCUGGCGGCAGGCCUAACACAUGCAAGUCGAACGAUAAGCCACCUUCGGGUGGUGGACAGUGGCAGACGGGUGAGUAACGCGUGGGAACGUGCCUUUCGGUUCGGGAUAACCCAGGGAAACUUGGGCUAAUACCGGAUACGCCCUUCGGGGGAAAGAUUCAUUGCCGAAAGAUCGGCCCGCGUCGGAUUAGCUAGUUGGUGGGGUAAUGGCCUACCAAGGCGACGAUCCGUAGCUGGUCUGAGAGGAUGACCAGCCACACUGGGACUGAGACACGGCCCAGACUCCUACGGGAGGCAGCAGUGGGGAAUAUUGGACAAUGGGCGAAAGCCUGAUCCAGCCAUGCCGCGUGUGUGAAGAAGGCCUUAGGGUUGUAAACCCCUUUCAGCGGGGACGAUAAUGACGGUACCCGCAGAAGAAGCCCCGGCUAACUCCGUGCCAGCCGCCGCCGUAA
This 459-nucleotide ribosomal RNA is filed under the name uncultured bacterium. RNAcentral describes it as "partial 16S ribosomal RNA". It matches the Rfam family "Bacterial small subunit ribosomal RNA", at positions 29 to 523 of the family's 1533-position model. The record is from RNAcentral.